GGAUCAAUGGGUCGGUCGUGCCCUCGGUACGUACUGGCUUUAUUGGUUCUCACCUUCUAAUGAACCAUAAUGUCAUUCAUUUGAUGUUAUGGGGAAUUAGGACUGUUACCUUGAAAAAAUUAGAGUGUUUAAAGCAAGCUAACGCUUGAAUACAUUAGCAUGGAAUAAUGAAAUAGGACAUCGCAUUCUAUUUUGUUGGUUUCUAGGAUCGAUGUA
This 216-nucleotide ribosomal RNA is filed under the name uncultured Glomeromycotina. RNAcentral's name for it is "partial small subunit ribosomal RNA". The stretch from base 47 to 216 matches the Rfam family "Eukaryotic small subunit ribosomal RNA", at positions 693 to 864 of the family's 1831-position model. The record is from RNAcentral. Lineage: Eukaryota; Fungi; Glomeromycota.